GGGACCAACAAGUACCAUAUUUUCAUGUCUUUUGGUAUGACGCGGUCGGGGAUCGAACCCGCGAACUUCCGCUCUCCGGGCGGACACUCUAACCACUACACCACGGAGGCGGUCUUAUAACCUAUAAGUUAGAUAAAGACAAACAUUAUGGAUGAACAACUUGUGUAUUCAGAUGAUGAGAAGUUUCUUGUAUCGUUAUGAGGUAGGUAUGGAUGACAGAAUCUGUGUCGAAAUGUCGCAUCACCUCAAUAAAGAAGUUGUUUAUCCAUAAAUAUUCCGUUAAUGCUGCAGCACGUCCUUUUGACAACUACAGACGCACAAUCGAACACUUAAAAGGACGUCAUGCAGCUAUUGCUCAAGGGUGUUCUGAGCUACAUUCGUCAUCUGAACAAAUGCUGUAAACAAUUUUCAUGGCAUUAUUUAUCCAAUGCCUUAUUCAAUAAACAAUUUGAAUUAAAA
This is a long non-coding RNA of Haliotis rubra (blacklip abalone), 459 nucleotides long. RefSeq lists it as uncharacterized. The transcript is spliced from 2 exons. NCBI's taxonomy places the organism in Eukaryota, Metazoa, Mollusca, Gastropoda, Lepetellida, Haliotidae. The record is from RefSeq and is a predicted model, not a curated record.